This 575-nucleotide long non-coding RNA is filed under the name Homo sapiens (human). RNAcentral describes it as "non-protein coding LINC00347:7". Lineage: Eukaryota; Metazoa; Chordata; Mammalia; Primates; Hominidae. The record is from RNAcentral.
GGAACUAUGAAAAAGCCAGAUGCUGAUCUGGGAAAUGUCCCAGAAUUAUUCUUUUGAAAAAUAUUAACACUCCAUUACAAAAGGUCUUGCGGAGAAUUAUAUUGAAACUCAGUUCCUGAUGACUAUAAAUAUAUAGAAGCAGCAACACAUUGGAGCAAAACUUGCGAUUUGAGGGUUGCAUUUGGACCUAAAAAGUGCUCCCACGCCUUCAAACACAGUAUGCUAAAGAGGCAUUUGUUUCAUCCACGAAGAACCCGGGCUCCGUGGAAAGGUUGCUCCCGUGACCACUCAACCUCUAUUUGAACAGAAUCUUCAAUGGCCAGAAACUCAGAAGUACCUAGAGUAAUUGGGGCUGCAAGGAAAACGAUGAUGAAACAAAAUGCAUUCAAAGCUCUCAGCUGCCUUUCGAAGAAGAUGAACGUAGUUUUAAAUGGAGGCUUUCUUAUUUCCUUGCUAGUGUGGGUCAGCAAGGGAUUACGCCAGCAAGAUCCUUAAAGUCACUGGAGGUGCUUUUGGGAAAGAAAAGACGUCUGCUCACCCCCACUCCUUAGGGGAUUUAGUUUAAGCCUUAGAAG